This 273-nucleotide ribosomal RNA is filed under the name uncultured bacterium. RNAcentral's name for it is "partial 16S ribosomal RNA". It matches the Rfam family "Bacterial small subunit ribosomal RNA", at positions 524 to 796 of the family's 1533-position model. The record is from RNAcentral.
GACGAACCGUGCGAACGUUGUUCGGAUUCACUGGGCUUAAAGGGCGCGUAGGCGGCUUGCCAAGUCUGGGGUGAAAUCUUUCGGCUCAACCGGAAAAGUGCCUGGGAUACUGGCAAGCUCGAGGGAAGUAGGGGCAUGUGGAACUUCUGGUGGAGCGGUGAAAUGCGUUGAUAUCAGAAGGAACGCCGGUGGCGAAAGCGACGUGCUGGACUUCUUCUGACGCUGAGGCGCGAAAGCCAGGGGAGCAAACGGGAUUAGAAACCCCUGUAGUCC